GAUGAACGCUGGCGGCGUGCCUAAUACAUGCAAGUCGAGCGAACAGAUGAGGCUCUUGCUCGGCUUACGUGAGCGGCGGACGGGUGAUUAACACGUGUAUAACCUGCCUAUGAGACUGGGAUAACGUCGGGAAACCGGAUCUAACACCGGAUAAUAUGUUGAACCGCAGGGUUCAUUAGAGAAAGACGUUUUUGCUGUCACUUGGAGGGGGUACCUCGCCGCAGUAGUUAGUUGGUAAGGUAACGGCUUACCAAGGCAACGAUGCGUAGCCGAUCUGUGAGGGUGGUCGGCCAAACUGGAAGCUGAAACCGGUCCAGACUCCUACGGGAGGCAGCAGUAGGGGAUUGUCGGCAAUGGGGGAAAGCCUGACGGCGGCAAGGCGGGUGGGUGAUAGAAGUUUUGGGAUCGUAAAACCAUGUUAUGAGGGAAGAAAAAAUGUGUAAUUAACUCUGCACGGCUUGACGGUAACUAAUAAGAAAGCCACGGCUAACUACGUG
RNAcentral lists this ribosomal RNA (497 nucleotides) under uncultured bacterium. Its description in RNAcentral is "partial 16S ribosomal RNA". It matches the Rfam family "Bacterial small subunit ribosomal RNA", at positions 28 to 507 of the family's 1533-position model. The record is from RNAcentral.